Molecule: ribosomal RNA, 378 nt
Filed under: Triticum aestivum (bread wheat)
Lineage: Eukaryota; Viridiplantae; Streptophyta; Magnoliopsida; Poales; Poaceae
Description: partial small subunit ribosomal RNA
Source: RNAcentral
AUGGAUGUGCAGGAGCUGCGCUUCUGGCGGUACGUGCUUUUGGUAAUUGCGAUCGGAGAAGGCGAGCAGACAGUGACGCCGGCAGCCAUGCUGGCGACCUUGCAGCAGCAUUGCGGGGUGGUGCCGUCCGAGGUGGUCAUCGAGGUCGCGUGCCCACCACACGACCUAUGGCUGACCUUCUCAACGGAGGAUAAGUGCUCUGAGGUGCUCCUUUCAUCAAUGAAGAUCAAGUGUUGUCGGCGUUGGAUUCACUUUUCGCGUUGGUGCAGAAUGGUUCGUGCUCAGCCAGGUGCUCUGAAGUACAAGAGCAAGCUCGGCUUUGAAGGCCUUCCUAACCAGGCCUGGACGACGGCGUCCGUGAAAGAUGUUCUCAAGUAG